AUUGAACGCUGGCGGCAGGCCUAACACAUGCAAGUCGAACGAGUGGCGGACGGGUGAGUAAUGUCUGGGAAACUGCCCGAUGGAGGGGGAUAACUACUGGAAAAGGUAGCUAAUACCGCAUACCAUCGGAUGUGCCCAGAUGGGAGUAGCUAGUAGGUGGGGUAACGGCUCACCUAGGGGACGAUCCCUAGCUGGUCUGAGAGGAUGACCAGCAACACUGGAACCGAUACACGGUUCAGAACCCUACGGGAGGCAGCAGGGGGGAAUAUUGCACAAUGGGCGCAAGCCUGAUGCAGCCAUGCCGCGCGUAUGAAGAAGGCCUUCGGUUUGUAAAGUACUUCCAGCGCGGAGGCGUUACUCGCAGAAGAAGCACCGGCUAACUCCGUGCCAGCAGCCGCGGUAAUAC
This 406-nucleotide ribosomal RNA is filed under the name uncultured bacterium. RNAcentral's name for it is "partial 16S ribosomal RNA". It matches the Rfam family "Bacterial small subunit ribosomal RNA", at positions 30 to 526 of the family's 1533-position model. The record is from RNAcentral.